Molecule: ribosomal RNA, 521 nt
Filed under: Bifidobacterium breve
Lineage: Bacteria; Bacillati; Actinomycetota; Actinomycetes; Bifidobacteriales; Bifidobacteriaceae
Description: bacterial SSU rRNA
Rfam family: Bacterial small subunit ribosomal RNA
Source: RNAcentral
GCUGAUUGCAUGGUUUUCUGGGAAAGCCUUUGCGGCAUGGGAUGGGGUCGCGUCCUAUCAGCUUGAUGGCGGGGUAACGGCCCACCAUGGCUUCGACGGGUAGCCGGCCUGAGAGGGCGACCGGCCACAUUGGGACUGAGAUACGGCCCAGACUCCUACGGGAGGCAGCAGUGGGGAAUAUUGCACAAUGGGCGCAAGCCUGAUGCAGCGACGCCGCGUGAGGGAUGGAGGCCUUCGGGUUGUAAACCUCUUUUGUUAGGGAGCAAGGCAUUUUGUGUUGAGUGUACCUUUCGAAUAAGCACCGGCUAACUACGUGCCAGCAGCCGCGGUAAUACGUAGGGUGCAAGCGUUAUCCGGAAUUAUUGGGCGUAAAGGGCUCGUAGGCGGUUCGUCGCGUCCGGUGUGAAAGUCCAUCGCUUAACGGUGGAUCCGCGCCGGGUACGGGCGGGCUUGAGUGCGGUAGGGGAGACUGGAAUUCCCGGUGUAACGGUGGAAUGUGUAGAUAUCGGAAAAGAACACCA